AAACCCGGUGAUCUAGCCAUGGGCAGGUUGAAGGUUGGGUAACACUAACUGGAGGACCGAACCGACUAAUGUUGAAAAAUUAGCGGAUGACCUGUGGCUGGGGGUGAAAGGCCAAUCAAACCGGGAGAUAGCUGGUUCUCCCCGAAAGCUAUUUAGGUAGCGCCUCGUGAAUUCAUCUCCGGGGGUAGAGCACUGUUUCGGCUAGGGGGCCAUCCCGGCUUACCAACCCGAUGCAAACUGCGAAUACCGGAGAAUGUUAUCACGGGAGACACACGGCGGGUGCUAACGUCCGUCGUGAAGAGGGAAACAACCCAGACCGCCAGCUAAGGUCCCAAAGUCAUGGUUAAGUGGGAAACGAUGUGGGAAGGCCCAGACAGCCAGGAUGUUGGCUUAGAAGCAGCCAUCAUUUAAAGAAAGCGUAAUAGCUCACUGGUCGAGUCGGCCUGCGC
Molecule: ribosomal RNA, 449 nt
Filed under: Salmonella enterica subsp. enterica serovar Thompson
Lineage: Bacteria; Pseudomonadati; Pseudomonadota; Gammaproteobacteria; Enterobacterales; Enterobacteriaceae
Description: partial 23S ribosomal RNA
Rfam family: Bacterial large subunit ribosomal RNA
Source: RNAcentral